This 253-nucleotide ribosomal RNA is filed under the name uncultured bacterium. Its description in RNAcentral is "partial 16S ribosomal RNA". It matches the Rfam family "Bacterial small subunit ribosomal RNA", at positions 524 to 776 of the family's 1533-position model. The record is from RNAcentral.
AACGUAGGACACAAGCGUUAUCCGGAGUUACUGGGCGUAAAGGGCGUGUAGGCGGAUCAAUAAGUCUAUUCUGAAAGCUCCUGGCUAAACUGGGAGAGGCGAAUGGAGACUGUUGGUCUAGAGUGAGGAAGAGGAGAGUGGAAUUCCUGGUGUAGCGGUGAAAUGCGCAGAUAUCAGGAAGAACACCUAUGGCGAAGGCAGCUCUCUGGGACGGUACUGACGCUGAGACGCGAAAGCGUGGGGAGCGAACAGG